This 497-nucleotide ribosomal RNA is filed under the name uncultured bacterium. RNAcentral's name for it is "partial 16S ribosomal RNA". It matches the Rfam family "Bacterial small subunit ribosomal RNA", at positions 28 to 507 of the family's 1533-position model. The record is from RNAcentral.
GAUGAACGCUGGCGGCGUGCCUAAUACAUGCAAGUCGAGCGAACAGAUAAGGAGCUUGCUCCUUUGACGUUAGCGGCGGACGGGUGAGUAACACGUGGAUAACCUACCUAUAAGACUGGGAUAACUUCGGGAAACCGGAGCUAAUACCGGAUAACAUAUUGAACCGCAUGGUUCAAUAGUGAAAGGCGGCUUUGCUGUCACUUAUAGAUGGAUCCGCGCCGCAUUAGCUAGUUGGUAAGGUAACGGCUUACCAAGGCAACGAUACGUAGCCGACCUGAGAGGGUGAUCGGCCACACUGGAACUGAGACACGGUCCAGACUCCUACGGGAGGCAGCAGUAGGGAAUCUUCCGCAAUGGGCGAAAGCCUGACGGAGCAACGCCGCGUGAGUGAUGAAGGUCUUCGGAUCGUAAAACUCUGUUAUCAGGGAAGAACAAAUGUGUAAGUAACUGUGCACAUCUUGACGGUACCUGACCAGAAAGCCACGGCUAACUACGUG